CUGUGAGGGCUGCUGGAGGUAUCAGAAGUGCGAAUGCUGACAUAAGUAACGAUAAAGCGGGUGAAAAGCCCGCUCGCCGGAAGACCAAGGGUUCCUGUCCAACGUUAAUCGGGGCAGGGUGAGUCGACCCCUAAGGCGAGGCCGAAAGGCGUAGUCGAUGGGAAACAGGUUAAUAUUCCUGUACUUGGUGUUACUGCGAAGGGGGGACGGAGAAGGCUAUGUUAGCCGGGCGACGGUUGUCCCGGUUUAAGCAUGUAGGCGGAGGUUCCAGGUAAAUCCGGUACCUUUUAACGCUGAGGUGUGAUGACGAGGCACUACGGUGCUGAAGUAACAAAUGCCCUGCUUCCAGGAAAAGCCUCUAAGCAUCAGGUAACACGAAAUCGUACCCCAAACCGACACAGGUGGUCAGGUAGAGAAUACCAAGGCGCUUGAGAGAACUCGGGUGAAGGAACUAGGCAAAAUGGUGCCGUAACUUCGGGAGAAGGCACGCUGAUAUGUAGGUGAAGCCCCUGCGGGUGGAGCUGAAAUCAGUCGAAGAUACCAGCUGGCUGCAACUGUUUAUUAAAAACACAGCACUGUGCAAACACGAAAGUGGACGUAUACGGUGUGACGCCUGCCCGGUGCCGGAAGGUUAAUUGAUGGGGUUAGCGGCAACGCGAAGCUCUUGAUCGAAGCCCCGGUAAACGGCGGCCGUAACUAUAACGGUCCUAAGGUAGCGAAAUUCCUUGUCGGGUAAGUUCCGACCUGCACGAAUGGCGUAAUGAUGGCCAGGCUGUCUCCACCCGAGACUCAGUGAAAUUGAACUCGCUGUGAAGAUGCAGUGUACCCGCGGCAAGACGGAAAGACCCCGUGAACCUUUACUAUAGCUUGACACUGAACACUGGUCCUUGAUGUGUAGGAUAGGUGGGAGGCUUUGAAGCGUGGACGCCAGUCUGCGUGGAGCCAUCCUUGAAAUACCACCCUUUAAUGGCUGGUGUUCUAACGUAGACCCGUAAUCCGGGUUGCGGACAGUGUCUGGUGGGUAGUUUGACUGGGGCGGUCUCCUCCCAAAGAGUAACGGAGGAGCACGAAGGUUAGCUAAUCCUGGUCGGACAUCAGGAGGUUAGUGCAAUGGCAUAAGCUAGCUUGACUGCGAGAGUGACGGCUCGAGCAGGUGCGAAAGCAGGUCAUAGUGAUCCGGUGGUUCUGAAUGGAAGGGCCAUCGCUCAACGGAUAAAAGGUACUCCGGGGAUAACAGGCUGAUACCGCCCAAGAGUUCAUAUCGACGGCGGUGUUUGGCACCUCGAUGUCGGCUCAUCACAUCCUGGGGCUGAAGUAGGUCCCAAGGGUAUGGCUGUUCGCCAUUUAAAGUGGUACGCGAGCUGGGUUUAGAACGUCGUGAGACAGUUCGGUCCCUAUCUGCCGUGGGCGCUGGAGAAUUGAGGGGGGCUGCUCCUAGUACGAGAGGACCGGAGUGGACGCAUCACUGGUGUUCGGGUUGUCAUGCCAAUGGCACUGCCCGGUAGCUAAAUGCGGAAGAGAUAAGUGCUGAAAGCAUCUAAGCACGAAACUUGCCCCGAGAUGAGUUCUCCCUGAGACUUAAAGUCUCCUGAAGGAACGUU
Molecule: ribosomal RNA, 1601 nt
Filed under: Enterobacter sp. SENG-6
Lineage: Bacteria; Pseudomonadati; Pseudomonadota; Gammaproteobacteria; Enterobacterales; Enterobacteriaceae
Description: bacterial LSU rRNA
Rfam family: Bacterial large subunit ribosomal RNA
Source: RNAcentral